This 71-nucleotide transfer RNA is filed under the name Sooglossus sechellensis (Seychelles frog). RNAcentral's name for it is "tRNA-Ile". It matches the Rfam family "tRNA". From Rfam's summary of the family: Transfer RNA (tRNA) molecules are approximately 80 nucleotides in length. Lineage: Eukaryota; Metazoa; Chordata; Amphibia; Anura; Sooglossidae. The record is from RNAcentral.
GGAAGCGUGCCUGAAAGUUAAGGACUUCCUUGAUAGGGAAACUAAUAUGGGUUCAAACCCCCUCGCUUCCC